GUGGAUAUAGUUCAAUUGGUAGAUCGACUGUUUGUGGUACAGUAUGUUCCCUGUUCGAGCCAGGGUAUUCACCCAUAGCCC
Molecule: transfer RNA, 81 nt
Filed under: Colletotrichum salicis
Lineage: Eukaryota; Fungi; Ascomycota; Sordariomycetes; Glomerellales; Glomerellaceae
Description: tRNA-His
Rfam family: tRNA
About the family: Transfer RNA (tRNA) molecules are approximately 80 nucleotides in length. Their secondary structure includes four short double-helical elements and three loops (D, anti-codon, and T loops).
Source: RNAcentral